This 96-nucleotide transfer RNA is filed under the name Antarctobacter aquimaris. RNAcentral describes it as "Maliponia aquimaris tRNA-Ser". The record is from RNAcentral. Lineage: Bacteria; Pseudomonadati; Pseudomonadota; Alphaproteobacteria; Rhodobacterales; Roseobacteraceae.
AUUCGUGGUGGUGCGCGACGGGCAGGUGCUGGCGGAGCUGGCGCUGCCGGUGGCGGGGCUGAUGUCGCUGGAGCCGUUCGAGGCGGUGCGCGCGCG